Molecule: ribosomal RNA, 465 nt
Filed under: uncultured bacterium
Lineage: Bacteria
Description: bacterial SSU rRNA
Rfam family: Bacterial small subunit ribosomal RNA
Source: RNAcentral
AAUCAACGUUGGCGGCGCGCCUAACACAUGCAAGUCGAACGAGAAAGUGGAGCAAUCCAUGAGUACAGUGGCGUACGGGUGAGUAACACGUGGGUAAUCUGCCUGUUAGUGGGGGAAUAACCCUGGGAAACCGGGGCUAAUACCGCAUAAGUUUGUAAGAAGAAAGUCGCAAGACGCUGACAGAGGAGCCCGCGGCCGAUUAGCUAGUUGGCAGGGUAAAAGCCUACCAAGGCGACGAUCGGUAGCCGGCCUGAGAGGGCACACGGCCACACUGGCACUGAAACACGGGCCAGACUCCUACGGGAGGCAGCAGUGGGGAAUCUUGCACAAUGGGGGAAACCCUGAUGCAGCGACGCCGCGUGAGUGAUGAAGCCCUUCGGGGUGUAAAGCUCUUUCGACGGGAACGAUUAUGACGGUACCCGGAGAAGAAGCUGCGGCUAACUACGUGCCAGCAGCCGCGGUAAU